AGGAACCAAUGGGGCAGGAGGUCACAAGAUGUUUCAAGAGGAAGGAGGGAAGUUCUUCCUUUGUUCUAUUUAUUAAGUUCUGUGCCGGAGUGAAAAGAUCCAGGAAUCACCCACGGUAUAUUCCAGCCCUGGAGCACCCAUGGAGUCGGCACCUUUGAGAGCAAGUCAGUGGAAGAGACAGAAGCAGACCUUCGUUCUGACUCCUGACCCUGUGCCUGAGCCACGCUGCCUUCCCCAGCAUAGAAUACAAGCAGACCAUGUCUCCAGUUUGUCCAGUUCACUUUAAAUUCUAAUCCUGUCCUCCACAG
Long non-coding RNA from Mauremys mutica (yellowpond turtle), 308 nucleotides. RefSeq lists it as uncharacterized. Lineage: Eukaryota; Metazoa; Chordata; Testudines; Geoemydidae. The transcript has 3 exons. The record is from RefSeq and is a predicted model, not a curated record.